Molecule: long non-coding RNA, 4723 nt
Organism: Etheostoma cragini (Arkansas darter)
Lineage: Eukaryota; Metazoa; Chordata; Actinopteri; Perciformes; Percidae
Exons: 2
Source: RefSeq, a predicted model, not a curated record
AUCUACAGCACCCAUUAUCAGCAACGAUUCAACCAAUGUUCUAAAGCCACAUUCUGUUAAUAAUCUUUAAAAAAACAAACAGUUACAGAGUACAGAGUGCUAUUUUGCAAUUAUGUAAGCACAUAAUGUAUUCUGAAAACUGCUGCCGUGGUUAAAGAAAACAAGGCAACUAAUCUCAGCUGGUAUUCUGUCUGCAAUUGGGUGCAAUGGAAAUUUCUAAGUAACCCCAAUCCUUUGACCGGUAGUGUAUUUUCUUUCUUUUUUAUUACAGUUAUAGUCUUCUUCUUUUUUUAAAUAAGGAUUUCUUUUUGUUUGAGUCCUAGCUGUAAUUUAUUGUGGCAUUUCGUAAUUUUUUUCAGAAACCUAAGAUGAUGAUAAGAGAUUUUUUAUGAUUUCACUACGUUCCGGUUCGUAUUAACCGACUGUGAGACCUGAAAGAAAUAUCUGUAAAAUGUUUAAUGUGAUCUAUUUUUCCGUUGGAAGUCAUUUGUUAAUUUUUAAUCUACUGCUUUUACAACUUGCCAUAUAAAUGUAGAUUGAGUUUGUACAGAUUUUACGGUAGAUGUAGUUUUAUCUUCAAUACCAGUUUGCAGUGAGCCAUUGAAACAUAAUUGAAUUGACAGAUGUAUGGUCUUAGUACUCCCCUUAUCUGUUUCAUCUCACGUGUUAUGGAUAUCGUUUUAAGUGCAUACAACAUAUCCAUUGAUUUGAACUGAGAUCGUUUAGAUUUGACCUGGAAACAAGUUUUUCUGCUUGCGAGUCACUACUACUUCCUACAUUGUAAAAAAAAUUAUAACAACAAUAAUGAAAGCUUUAUAAUUUACUCAUUCUUCACCUUCUGUUUUGACAUGAUAGGAUUUCAAAAUGAUUUUCACUCGCCAUAUAAUUCAUUUCACCUUCUGCAUUUAAGAUAUGGGAUUGAGAAUGGCCCAGUUAGGUCCCGCAAGAUAAUGGUGGAGCUUUUUUAAAGACUUCUGUAUUUUUUAGUGCUUUAAAGUGUCUCUUCUUGUCUGCAACAGGCUGUGUGACAUUAUGGAACUGGAGUUGUGGUGUUGCUUUGAAGGACUGGAUGCACGCUCUCCACUGGCUCACUUUGACUGUGAGGUAUUGCUAACAGUUGGGAAUGUUUUUUUUGUCGUGCUUUGGGAGGUUUAUCAAGACGUAGAAGAGUUGUGUGAGGUUGUAAAAUCGGUGACGGUGUAAGUAGAAUGUGUUUCAGUCAAGUAGGGAAUUGUGAUAAUGAGAAUGCAUGUGAACGUGACGAAAUUGGGUGUCUUGGAGGGAUAGUGAUUCUGCAGCCUGAUGGAACAGUGUGAAAACAUGUCCUUUUAGAUCCUGGUGGUAGCAAUAUGUGUUUGUUAAUUUGGAAAAUCACAAAAGCAUAUUGCAUAUAAGCAUUUUUUUCUUCUAAAGGUUGGCCAAACAGUUUUCAUAAAAGACUUGCCUACAAUUGUGAAAGCAAAAAAAAGAACCUGAAACCUGUCAGCACAAACAACCAGAGUCAAAAGAAACAAAAUUGUUCUUACUGUAUGCAAUAAUAGUGCCCUUUUUGAGUGUUUCUUGAUUUAGAUUUGAAAGGAAAAGUGCCUGUUUGUCAUUCAUUCCUGAGUACGGGGGAGGAAGUGGAUUUAUUACGUGUAGGUUCUUAUGGCGCCUGGUUAACAACAACAACAAAUCGGUAAUGUAUGAUGGGGUUGUAGUUCUCACAAAUGUAUUGUAUAUUUUUCUACUUGUUUUGAUUUUGACCCUUGAGGGGGAGACUGUUGUGUCUUGCAGGGUAAGAAGGUGAUGGCGUAUAUACGUUGAGAUGCUUAAGUACGUGUUUGAGUCAUUUCGGAAGAAAAGGCAGUUUUAUCAAGGUCUUUCAUCAAAGUAAAAAGAAGUGUUUCUUUGCAAUGACAGCAACCGAAAUAUAGGUUAAAGCUUUUUUUUUCUUUUCUUUGAGUGCUAAUUUAAUGUGGUGAUUAUAAAAGAGAACAGGAUGUUUUCAAAUUCAACUACUGGAUCAAACUAAAUGAGGGAACUCUGCAACUGCAUUAUUGUCAGUAUUUUGUGAUGUUUAAAGUCAAACUUGUGGUACAAACUGAAAAAAAAAGAUCAAACCAUAGUUACUUUAAACCAGCCAUAUUAGCUGAAAGCUAUCUAGACAAGUUGUGUAAGGAUUUGUUGACUUUUAAAGAUCAUGAAUAUCAUGGCCAUUAAUUAAUAAAGCAAAGGAGUCCAUAAUCCUAUCAAUUUCAGCUUUUUGCUCAGCUUAUUGAGGUUUCAUGCAGCCAUUCUGCCUGCUUGAAGUAUUUGCAUAGCUAAACUUCCUAUCUGCAAAAUGCAGAGGUAGGACGUGUUGUACUGUCAUGGUAAAUGAGCAUGUGUUGUGGAUGUUGGCAUAAACAUCCCUGUACUAGGAUUGUCUAAACUCAGAACUGUCUCUAGAACCUUUCUAGUCUUUAAUAAGGACGUUUCAGGAAAGGUUGUCUGUAGGCUGUUUCAUAAAAUGCUGUAUGCUCUGUGCUGUGUUCUACUUGAACAACUCAUUGGCUGCCAAAUAUAUAAGGUGUAACCAUUUAUGUAACCGCAAGUUCUGACUUGCACCAGCUAUUUUUGUGUGUGUCUGUUUGUGUAUGUGUGUGGGUUUUACCACCUAGCUAGUUUCAAACUAUUGAUUUAGUAAAUUGGGUUGCACCAUUUAAACCUAAGUAAAAAAUCUAUACGUGAAAAGCAAUGGGUAAAUUGGUUGUUUGAAAUCCUCUGAUCGUUAUCUGUCAAUGAUGUAAAGUGAAAGCUACUAAAAGCUACUAUAGUCACAAGCUGUUACAUAUCUCAAAAAAAUGAGUUUUGGUAGAUCAAAUAAUUAACUAAACAUAACAAUGAAUCCGUUGUAAAUGUAAGUAUUACUUUGUUCUUUUCAUUUAUGCAUACAUAGAGAAGUUAAGUAUACAUUUCAGAAUCAGUAAUAUCCACGCAUUUCUGUAUUCUGUAUUUCUGCAUUUCAAGUGUCAAUUCAAUAAGAAGUGGCUCAAUAUGUGACAGCAGAACGUUUUGUUAUUUGAUAUAUUUUUGGGUAAUUUUGUGUAACUUGUUUAAAAUUUCAAAAUCUUAGCAUUUUAUCAAGUGUAUGGUCUGAAUAUUAAAACGGGUGAUAUAUUAGCAAGGAUUAGCCUUUUCACUGAGCUAUACAAUAUUUAACAUUUAAUAUGUCAGCAAGCAAAUGUUAGCUUUGUCACUCAGCUACACAACAGUUAAAGUUUGAAAUAUUUGUAAGCAAAUGCUAGCUUUGUCACUUAGCUACACAAUUGUUAACAUUUAAUUUAUUAGCAAGCUAACGGUAGCUUUGUCCCUGAGCUACACAGCAGUUAACAUUUGAUAAAUUAGCAAGCUAAUGCUAGCUUUGUCACUUAGCUACACAACACUUAACAUUUAUUAUAUAUGCAAGCUAACAUUAACUUUAUUUAAUAACUAGGUCAUGCGGUGCAGCCCAUUUUAGUUUUGUAUAUCUCCACUGUGUAAACACGUUAAAACUCGGCUAGCGUAAGUUUGAACUCAUAAACAGCUGGUGCAAGUAGCUCAUGUUCUUUUCAGUCACCCACAUUGAAAAGGAAGUGUUUGGCUAGUGGCAGCAACUGCAGAGGAAGAUUAGUACAGUACAAGACUAAAUUCAAUCUGCAACACAUUAUUGUAGAUUCCCACAACAACAAACUAAAUUGUCCGUUGGUAAAUGUGCAGUAGUGUUUUGACAAACAAUGUCAAAAACUAGGACUUAAUCAGUGUCACAUCUGUAAAAAGGCAGCGAUAGCAGGCAAAAAACAUCAGUGGUAUGUAUCCAUUUGUCAUAUUAGAUCAAAAUAAUCAGUCAGAAAAAAACGUUGUCUAAAAUGCUCUUAAUUUAUUUAGCCCAACAUUAGGGGCUUUAAUUGGCGUAUUUUCUCAUGUUUUUUACAUAUAAUUACCACAUCUCUCCAAACAAUGUCAUUUGAUUUAAGUCUGCUUUGAUGAACUACCUCACGCUGAAUUUCUGCCAGUUCUUGCAUAUACUUAGUCGCCUGCAGAAUUAGCUAUCGAAGACGUGUGAAUAACAGAUUCCAUUAUUUAUUUAUUUGAAAGUGUACUAUUUGUUGGUUUCAACAGACUUCUAGUUUUGUACAUUAUGUAUACUUCACCUAGAAGUAAAAGAAUUGUUAUAUGUAAUUUUUGUUCAUUUAUUUUUUUGGUUUGUUUUUUGUUUUUAAACUAAAUGUGCAAUACCUUCAGCAAACUGUGCUAGUAGUGUGUGAUGGGCCUAGCCUUUGUUAGCUGUCUCCUGAAGGUAAAGAAAAUGUUUGGUACUGUCAAUCCAUGUUUUCCCUUUUUUAUGAAUAAGAUCAAUUUUUAUUUCUGUGACUUGUUUAUAGUCAGGAUGUUACGUAAUCAGCCUUUCCCUCCAAUUAAAUCUGUCGGCUAAGGUUUGGAUUCAGAGACAGGAAGUCCUUUGAGUCACUACGGCCGACAGGUUUUGAUUUGGAAUGUGGGAAGGACAAUAAUGUUAAACACAAAAAAAGAUGAGUAAUGGAAUAAAAUACCUACAAUAAAUCAAUAUAUGUAUGGUGCUGGUUUGUAAUGUUUGCUAGUGAAUCCAGCCAUGCAAGUAGUUUUAAGAAUUCCUUGAUCUGUGCAUCCAAAAAACCGCAAAGUGCACUACUAGAAUACAUGCACUGGGAUCUGAUGAUGCCACCUCUUUAAAAAAACAAAA